RNAcentral lists this ribosomal RNA (393 nucleotides) under uncultured bacterium. RNAcentral's name for it is "partial 16S ribosomal RNA". It matches the Rfam family "Bacterial small subunit ribosomal RNA", at positions 523 to 918 of the family's 1533-position model. The record is from RNAcentral.
AUACGUAUGGAGCGAGCGUUAUCCGGAUUUAUUGGGCGUAAAGCGCGCGUAGGCGGCUUGCCAAGCGGGAUCUCAAACCUGAGGGCUCAACCCCCAGCCGGAUCCCGAACUGGCAGGCUCGAGUUCGGUAGAGGAAGAUGGAAUUCCCAGUGUAGCGGUGAAAUGCGCAGAUAUUGGGAAGAACACCGAUGGCGAAGGCAGUCUUCUGGGCCGUAACUGACGCUGAGGUGCGAAAGCUAGGGGAGCGAACAGGAUUAGAUACCCUGGUAGUCCUAGCCGUAAACGAUGGGCACUAGGUGUGGGGGAGCAUUUCCUCCGUGCCGCAGCUAACGCAUUAAGUGCCCCGCCUGGGGAGUACGGCCGCAAGGCUAAAACUCAAAGGAAUUGACGGGG